UACCACUAAUAGCCACUAACCCUUCCCCACCACUGAAUAAUUCUAUAGUAUAUAGAAAAUACUAUGCUAGAACUAGUAACAAGAAUGAUUCUCUAAAAUGUAAACUUCUGCCUAAUAAUAGGAAAUUAACGAACAUGAACCUGCUGCAGCAACCCCCAAGAAAACCCUACAAAAAUCUCCGUUAACCUAACACUAGGACAUUUCUAGAAAGAUUAAAAGAGAAAGAAGGAACUUGGCAAAUCUUAACCCCGCCUGUUUACCAAAAACAUCGCCUCUUGUUUAAUAAUAAGAGGUCCAGCCUGCCCAGUGAUAAAUUCAACGGCCACGGUACCCUAACCGUGCAAAGGUAGCAUAAUCACUUGUUCUUUAAAUAAGGACUAGUAUCAACGGCACCACGAGGGUUAUACCGUCUCCUUCCUCCAAUCAGUGAAACUGAUCUCCCCGUGAAGAAGCGGGGAUAAAACUAUUAGACGAGAAGACCCCGUGGAGCUUUAUACUUUCGGCAACCAAAUCUCUCACUUCCUUAUAAUCUUAAAGCUUUGCCCACUAGUCUUAGAUUGGGGUGAUCGCGGAGCAAAAAUCAACCUCCAUGACGAACUAUUUUAUCCGAGACUUACAACUCUAAGAAUUAGAACACUAACGCUCAUGACCCGACAAACGAUCAACGAACCAAGUUACCCCGGGGAUAACAGCGCAAUCUACUUCAAGAGCUCAUAUCGACAAGUAGGCUUACGACCUCGAUGUUGGAUCAAGGUACCCCAGUGGUGCAGUCGCUACUAAUGGUUU
RNAcentral lists this ribosomal RNA (786 nucleotides) under Philautus refugii. RNAcentral's name for it is "partial 16S ribosomal RNA". It matches the Rfam family "Bacterial large subunit ribosomal RNA", at positions 1623 to 2574 of the family's 2925-position model. The record is from RNAcentral. Lineage: Eukaryota; Metazoa; Chordata; Amphibia; Anura; Rhacophoridae.